CCCCUACCCGGGGGGAUUUUUUUUCUGGCUCAGGAUGAACGCUCGCCUCUUGGAGGACACAUGCAAGUCGAACGAAGCACCUUGAUUUGAUUCUUCGGAUGAAGAUCUUGGUGACUGAGUGGCGGACGGGUGAGUAACGCGUGGGUAACCUGCCUCAUACAGGGGGAUAACAGUUAGAAAUGACUGCUAAUACCGCAUAAGACCACAGCACCGCAUGGUGCAGGGGUAAAAACUCCGGUGGUAUGAGAUGGACCCGCGUCUGAUUAGGUAGUUGGUGGGGUAACGGCCUACCAAGCCGACGAUCAGUAGCCGACCUGAGAGGGUGACCGGCCACAUUGGGACUGAGACACGGCCCAUUUUUCUACGGGAGGCAGCAGUGGGGAAUAUUGCACAAUGGGGGAAACCCUGAUGCAGCGACGCCGCGUGAGCGAUGAAGUAUUUCGGUAUGUAAAGCUCUAUCAGCAGGGAAGAAAAUGACGGUACCUGACUAAGAAGCACCGGCUAAAUACGUGCCAGCAGCCGCGGUAAUACGUAUGGUGCAAGCGUUAUCCGGAUUUACUGGGUGUAAAGGGAGCGUAGACGGAGUGGCAAGUCUGAUGUGAAAACUCGGGGCUCAACCCCGGGACUGCAUUGGAAACUGUCAAUCUAGAGUACCGGAGAGGUAAGCGGAAUUCCUAGUGUAGCGGUGAAAUGCGUAGAUAUUAGGAGGAACACCAGUGGCGAAGGCGGCUUACUGGACGGUAACUGACGUUGAGGCUCGAAAGCGUGGGGAGCAAACAGGAUUAGAUACCCUGGUAGUCCACGCCGUAAACGAUGACUACUAGGUGUCGGGCAGCAAAGCUGUUCGGUGCCGCAGCAAACGCAAUAAGUAGUCCACCUGGGGAGUACGUUCGCAAGAAUGAAACUCAAAGGAAUUGACGGGGACCCGCACAGCGGUGGACAUGUGGUUAAUUCGAAGCACGCGAAGACCUUACCUGCUCUUGACAUCUCCUGACCGGCAAGAAUGGUGCCUUUCUUCGGGACAGGAUGACAGUGGUGCAUGUUGCCUCAGCUCGGUCGGAAAUGUGGGUUAGUCCCCAACGAGCCAACCCUAUCUUAGUACCAGCGGUUGGCGGGCCUCUAAAAACUGCCAGGAUACCUGGAGAAGGGGGGAUACGUCAAUCUCAUGCCCUUUGACAGGGUACACCGUCUAAAUGGGUAACAAGGGGGGAACCCGGGUCGGCAAUCCAAAAAACGUCCAUUGGAUUGUAGUCUGCAACUCGACUACAUGAAGCUGGAAUCGCUAGUAAUCGCGAAUCAGAAUGUCGCGGUGAAUACGUUCCCGGGUCUUGUACACACCGCCCGUC
This 1346-nucleotide ribosomal RNA is filed under the name uncultured bacterium. RNAcentral describes it as "bacterial SSU rRNA". It matches the Rfam family "Bacterial small subunit ribosomal RNA". The record is from RNAcentral.